UGCGACUGCCGGGACUCGGACCCGGUUCACCUGCUUGGAAGGCAGAUAUAAUACCCUUAUACCACAACCGC
Molecule: transfer RNA, 71 nt
Filed under: Terrestrivirus sp.
Lineage: Varidnaviria; Bamfordvirae; Nucleocytoviricota; Megaviricetes; Imitervirales; Mimiviridae
Description: tRNA-Gly
Source: RNAcentral